AGACAAGUCUUGCUCCAGGCU
Molecule: small nuclear RNA, 21 nt
Filed under: Arabidopsis thaliana (thale cress)
Lineage: Eukaryota; Viridiplantae; Streptophyta; Magnoliopsida; Brassicales; Brassicaceae
Description: snRNA_04406
Source: RNAcentral